Molecule: transfer RNA, 69 nt
Filed under: Picromerus griseus
Lineage: Eukaryota; Metazoa; Arthropoda; Insecta; Hemiptera; Pentatomidae
Description: tRNA-Gln
Source: RNAcentral
UAUAUUUAAGUGUUAGAUGCACAGGGAACUUUGAAUUCCCAGGCUAUGGUUUAAUUCCAUAAAGUAUAA